RNAcentral lists this long non-coding RNA (7777 nucleotides) under Cricetulus griseus (Chinese hamster). RNAcentral's name for it is "lncRNA (ENSCGRG00015042436.1)". Lineage: Eukaryota; Metazoa; Chordata; Mammalia; Rodentia; Cricetidae. The record is from RNAcentral.
GUCAUCCUGGGCUCUCUGUCGUCUAGCAGGCCUGAUGCACAGAGGGGAAAUGGGCCUGCCUCCCCCACCCUGACUCACUACAGGUCCAUGGCACCCAGCCAGAGCCCACAACUUGUUCACAGCUUUUUGGAAGUUCUACAUUCUUCCUCUCUGCUCUGCCAGCUGAGACAAUUCCUCUCUCCUGCAUCUGGUCUCUGGACUGGGCCCAGACCACCCUACUACCAUUAGCACUGCAAGAUAGAUGAGGUGGAGAGACAGAGCUGGGACCCUGAGCCCACCCUGGCAUUCUCUUUGCUCAACAUCAGGCUCCUUUCCCCUCAUCCCUGCAGGAACUCUGGCUGCCUGGCAGCCUGUGGGGCACAGGAUUUGGAAGGCAUAAAGCUCUUCGGAGGUGAGCCAGGGCAACCUUCUUGGGGUAGAAGAGGAGAAACAGAGGCCUGGAUGUAGGCAAGAGAUCUAUUCCAGAUCACAUUCAGCAGACUGAAAUCCAGGACAACCUGUCCAAGGGUAGCACCAUCGCAGAUGAGCUGGGCCCUCCCACAUCAAUCAUUAAUCAAGAAAAUGCCCUAUAGACUUGCCUUCAGGCCAUUCUGAUGGAGACAUUUUCUCAAUCAAGAAUUCUCUUUCCAGCUUUCUAAAUGAGCAAUCUGCAUCAAGCCAGAGGAACGAGGAAGAAAGUGAGGUGCACCCUGACCUCAGAUGUCUGUCUUCCGUCAUCAGAGCAGUUUCUUGCUCUUCCGGACUCGGAUGGCCGUGUUAAACCCCACAUGUGGUUCUGUGGUUGCCCACAAAGCUUAAAAAUAGCCAACAGGAACAGGGGAAUCCCCACUGGUGAGUAGGGCUGGCCGUUCCCCAGGUGUCUGCUGACCAGCCUCCCUCAUGUACUAUCUAGAGAGAGCUGGGUAUCUAGGAGGGUGUCCUGGAGGCCAUGCUGAUCCUGGAACACACGUUAUUUUCAUACCUCUGGGCAGAUGAGGAAACUGAGCCUCUAAGAGAUGAAAUACCCCAUUUGAAGCUAAGGAGUGUGGAUCUCUCACCCCUACUGUGGCUUGUUUAUCUUGAGCUGGGGACACAAGAAAAAGAACAGGCCCUUCAGAGCCACAUAGACUUUGCUUCCAACUGCAGCCACCCUGGCCACUCCUGGUGGCCUCAGCUGUACCAUAGGGGCUGUGUUGCCCACUUGUAGGAGGAUUGUGGUGGGGAUCCAGGGAAAUAAGGCCCUUGGCACCCACAGCAGGUCCAUCACUGCUACCAGAACUCAGCGUACAGUUUCUGGCCUUCCACCACUUGAGACCAAGCUUCCAAAGUAGGAAGAGUGUGUCCCCCAUCAAAGAAGUGAAAGCACCCACAAAAGCCCCAGAGUGCAGGCCCCUGUGACAGACUAUAACCUUCUAUAGCUGACUUCUGGAGUAGUUCCAGUUCUUUGAACUGAAACCUUAUCAUUCACCAUGGGGAGAUGGAGUCCAUCAACCCUCAUCUGGGGACUGUCACCUUUGGAAUUUCCUCAAUGAAGAGGAUGUGGCAGAAGUGACGUCACAUCACUUCCUAAGCUUAACCUUAACUGAUGGCUGGUGAUGAGGAUGAUGACAUCCCGUCGUGAGAAAGCCCCUGCCUCAGCUAAAGUCACAGCCGACAGCCAACCUCAGCAGCGCGACAUGCCUGUGAAAAGUCCUUCAUAUGAUUCUGUCCACCAGACUUCCUCCCAGCCUAGUAAAGAUCACUUAGAGCAGAAGCCAACUGAACCUGAACCCUGCCAGAAGGCAGGUUUGAAAGCAAAACAAAUGUCACUGUUUCAAGCCACUGUCUCAGGUGGCUGGUGACUCAACACUGGAUCACAAGGAUAGCCUUGCAGCUCAUGGUGGCAGGACCUGCAGUCACCCCUCCUGGUUCUGUGUCACAGGUAGAAUUGCAGAGCUCAGGUUAGGGCCCUUGGACCAACUUUUAUGAUAAAUCCCUGUUUGUCAUAUGAGAGUCUCUCAGGGGACCUGGGUUUUGAAUGAAUCAGCUGAGAGGAAGGAGGGGUAAGUUUUAAGGGGUCUGGACAGAGAGGAGUUUGGAGAGGCCCCACUCUGUGUGCUCCAUCCAGUAAGGACUUCUCCUCAGGCUGCUCACGGACUGAUCAAAGUACAAGAGGAAGCCAAGUAGCUCUGGUCGGGCCCUGGUAGGCUCUGCCAAGGGUGAAUGGGAGCAGCAGAGGAGGGAACAGCCUGCAGGAGCUGAAACAGUGGAACACACCAGACGGGGUUGAGCAAGAGGUCUGCCUCUGAGACUUCUCAGAAAACAGGCAGCAUGCCCUCCCUCUCCCCCUCCCUCUCCCUCCUGGCCCUAUCUAGAGAGAUUAAGUCAGGGAGGUUCCCAGACCGGAGGCGGAGGCAUCCUUAUCAGCCAUGUCUGGGGUACUUGGGAAUGUGAACCCUCCUGCCUGCGGCCCAGCCCUGAGAAGACACCCAGCAGAUGAAGUGUGUCUUGCUCCUGCAGGCCUGCCAACAAUGGCUCCAGGGUCCUCCUCAUCCAUACGCAAGAUGUGUGCUGCCUCUUGAAGCUUUUCUGUCAGUGUGGCCCUGACCAACAUACCCUGUGAAGAAGAUGGCCUGCCUGGAGGAGAGUAGCAUGGCGCACAGUCUGGUGAGCCUUGGGAUCUGCAGAGCACCCUUUCAUACCUCUUGCCGUAUGCCAGGUGCCACUUUGAGUGAUCUUCAUGCAUCACCUCAUGUAAUUCCCACAACCCCCCGCUCCCUACCACCCCCCACGUCAUUUCUUCUUUGUGGAGAAGGAAACUAGGGUGCUGGCCCAAGCAGCAGAGCUGUGGAUACAGUGCACACUAGAAGACUCAGAUGGGGGUUCAGAUCCCCAAAUGCCACCCUAUUGUAAGAAACAGACAAGCAAGGCUGGGCGUUCAAGGAACCUGACAUACCCAGAGCCUCCAAGGGCUUCCCAUCACCAUCAAGGCUUUCAUGCCUAUGGAGAAAUGAGAAGUUGAGGACAUAGGAGGGCCUUGAUUCCACCCUCUGGGAAAAUCUUUGGAAGAUAUGACCCUUGGAAUAUCAGGAGGGUUUGAUAGAUAGAUUGAAUAGAGAGAAGAGUGAAUCCUGGGCAGAGGGAGUUGGAAGGUGAAAAUCCAGAGGUCUGGCUCCUGUGAGGAAUAGUGCCAGUUGGAGGGGCUGGAGAACAACAUCUCUCAGGACUGCAAGAGCCAGCAAGAUAGUAAGGGCCGUCAUGCUUAUGCGGAAAAAUUAGAUUUUACCCCAAGUGCAAUGAACUAUGGAAGAGUUUUGAAGAGAGGAGGACUGUGAUUAGUCACAUGUCCAAAAGAAGAUAUUGUGAAGAGGUGAGGAUGGAGGGUGAGAUGGGUAAGGGGAGACUGUGGGGUAUACAGAUCUGAAGAUAGCAGGCAAGCAUUAGAGUCCAUCAAAGGUAGGGAAUGGGUGGUUGUGGGGAAAGGGGAGGCAGGGGAUGUCAGAGCAGCUUGGGCAUAUCAGGGAUGACACCAGAGGGUCCUGGAAAGUAGAACCAGGCUCAGCUUACAGUACUGAUGAGGACACACCAAGCAUAGCUUUAUGGGGCCUGGGUCUGAGCUCAGCCCUGAUACCAGGUCCUAACAGGAGUGGUUGGAAUGAUAGAAGGUGACUGGGCCCUUUUGGCAGAGUGUUGGCUGGGGUGACUAGGACAGACUGGGACUUAAAAAGAUGCCCAGUAUCAAAAACAGAAGGACAAGCAUCUCAUAGCCACUACAUCUCUGUAGGCUGGUUUGUAGCUGUGAUGACUGAGGGCUCCACAGGCCUCUGGUCUGUGUUCUAUUCUGUGUGUACAGUGUGGAAGCCAGAUCAGAAGGCCCCCUUCCCUUCUCUCUCUGACUUGCUGACUUGGCUUCCUCUGAUCCUAAUAGACCUUAGGCCUUCCCCCAGCUUCAGCAGCCUCCGCUAAUCCACAGCUGGUAUUAAGCCAAAUGAACUCUCAGCUUGCACGGAGGCCUCAAUGUUUGUUCAAAGAACAAAUGAACAGACGGCUGUUGCCAAGACCCAGCUUCUGCACUGCUGUCCAAUUAGUCAGGCCUUGGGAUAUGGACCAGCUCUGGGGCUCUCAGAUCCUCUACCCCUAGAUAUCCCUGCCUGUUGUCUGAAUGUUGGGAGGGGAGACCGUAAGGCCCGGGAAUCUUCCCUUCAGUUUCAGGACCAGAUCUUGGUACAUCAAAGCCCCUGGGCCCAGACCAGGGAUGCAUAGCCCUGCUCCCUCAGAAUUGGAAUGCAGGAGGAAGGCAGCUGAGCAGAUGCAUAGUGACCUUAUAACCUUCUUUACGGAGUGCUAUGGCCCCCACUCACAGAGGCUCAGUGAGGCAGGGAGGAAGGGAAAGCCAUGUGGCAAUGCAGACUAGAGCUCAGAGAGAGGGGCUUAUGCUCAUGCCACACAGCAUGUCAGGUGUGGUGCUUACAGGAAUUGUUGACAAGUGACCUGGACUUCUUCUGGAUCCUGCAUCCUGUCCCAAGGUAAAAUUAAGAGGGGAGAUGCCAGGACCCCAAGCAAACGUGGGGACCAUGUCCCCUUGCUGACAUUUCUGGGCCAUGACCAUCUCUGGGUACCUCUUCUCUGUAUGCUUUUCUCUUUUGUCCUAUUAACUCUUGUCAUGUGGUCUCUGCUUUCUUAAACACACCAGGCUCCCCAACCCAGUGCCUUUAUAUAACGGUUCCCUCCAAACCCUAACCCCUUCCAGGCCCAUGGUUAACAUUUCUUCAGUCACCUUUGAAACUUAACCACUUUUUAUUUUUAUUAUUCUCAUCUAUUAAAAGUAUACAAUUCAGGAUUUUGGUGUAUUCAGUAUUGGGUAAUUGUCACUGACACCAAUUUCAGAAUAUUGGCAUUACCCUCCCUCUAAGACUCUGUACUCCUCAGUGGUUCUGUUGACUAAGGCUGUCAAUAUCUCUGUCUUUAUGGGUUUGUCUAUUCUGAACAGUCCAUAUGAAUAAAAUCACAGCUUGUGGUCUUAUAUGACUGGCUCCUCUCACUCAGCAUCAUAUUCUCAUGGUUCAUCAGUGUUGUACUUCAGUACUUCACACCUUAUGUUGCCAAAUAAUAUUCUAUGACAUGGAUGAUACCACACUUGUAAUUCAUUCACUAAUGGGUAGGCAUCUGAGUGGUUUCCCCACCUUAGUUAUUAUGAAAAAUGCUACACAAGUUUUUGUGUGGGCUAUGUUUUCAUUUCUCUUGGGAAAAUUCCUAGGAAUGGAACUGCUGGGUCAUGUGAUCACCGUGCGUAAUCCUUUGAGGAACUACCAGUCCCACCACGGAAACUGCACCACAUUGCCCAGUGUGAAUUAGGGUUCCAACAUCUACACAUUUCUGUCAACACUUUGACUCUUUCAAAAUUAUAUCCCUUGUAGCUGGUGUGGCUAGUGUGGCUGUGGUUGAACUGUGCUUAUCUGAUGGCUAGUGAUGUCAUCUUUCUUUCCAGGACCCCACUGGCCAGUCACACAAUCUAGAGACAUAGCUCCCCAGAUCUUAAGUGGGUUCUUUAAAUAUUACAGAUAUAAUCUCCUAUUGGACACAUGAUUUACAAAAAUUGUUUCCAUUCUGUGGGUUCUGGCUUUACUCUUUUGAAGGUUUAAUUUGAAGAACAAGAGCUUUUUUUUUUUUUUUUUUUUUUUGGAUGAUCUCCAAUGUAUCUAACUUCCCUUUUGUUGCCUGUGCUCUUGCUACCAUAUUUAAGAAACCGUUCAAGGCCACAAGGACUUGAGAGAAUGUGCUCUCCCAAGAGUCUUACAGUGUCAAUUCUUACAGACUUUGAUACAUUUGGAGUUAAUUUUUGUAUUGGUCUGAGGUAGGAGAUUGAUUUCAUACCAUAACAUGUGUGUAUCCAGUUGCUGCAGUUCCCAUGUUGGAAAUACUGAAAUGAGAUUGGUGACACUGCUGAAAAUCAAUUGUCCACAAAUGUCCUUCCAUUUUAACUGCAGCAUUAUUUCCCUAGGAACCAUGACUGAUAGCCUCCAUACCCUGACCUCAUCAUGUCUAGAUUCCCAGUAUAUAUGUAUAUCACACAGAGACUAGCAGAGACUAUGUUUAUGUAAUAAUGGCACGCAAACUAACACAGAUGAUGAGCCACACAAUAUAUUUACAGUUUGUAGAUAAUUCAUAGAUAAUACCAUGGCUAAAAGAUACAUUCAUAUACUAUGCGCAAGCAAGCAUACAGUCCCGAGCCAGAUAUUGGAGGUUCAAAUGCAGCUCUGCCGUUCACUAACUACCUGGGCCCCACAUAUAUGGUUUUGCCUAUCUGAGCCUCAAAUUCCUCAUCUAUAAAUUAGAGAUUUACCCAUCUCAUGGUUUGCCAAGGUAACAUGUGGCCUAUGAAGUGCUAAUGAAGGAUAUAAGGAUAUGUUAUUAAGCAUGCCAUUCCUUAAGCUUUAAGAUCUGAGGACAGGGACCCUGUGUGUUUUGAGUUCCACUGUGUCUCCAUAGCCCCCACUGUUCCUGGCACAGGGAGGACACUGGAUGCAUACUCCUUGGAUUAAUGAGUGAAUGAAGGCAUGCAUGCAUGAAUGAGCCACAGACGGUUCUAAUCCCACCCUCCCACUGUCUGGCUUGUGAAUUCUUUAGGCCUCUAUAAAGAAAGACAGCAUUGGAAUCAUGGGUAAUUAUUCUGUGUUUGGAUGCAGAACUCUUAAGAGGAGUCCACUUUAAAAGGCAGAUAGAGAAAGCUGCUGUGGGAGAUGCUGUAGGCUAUCUAGUGUCCCUUCCUCCGUGAGCACCCCUAAAGACUUCCCAGAGCCUGCUGGACAGUGUGCAAGCUAUCAAUGCUCCCUGUGUGCUCCCAGCUCCCAGAAGCCCAUGAUUCAGAGGCAGCUGAUGUCUGACACUUAAUUCAGGCCACAUGCUGGAGGUCUGUGUCUUGAGGCUCGUGGGAGGUAAAGAGGCACAUUCCAAGGGGAAAGUGUCUUCUUCCCACAAAAGAGGAAAAUGUGGAGUGCCUCGAAACCCCCUGCUCCCCACCUCUGCUCUCAUGCCCUUCUUCCUUAGCCCCCCACCUCAGAACACACCAAGCUACACUGACUGCUAGUCCCAGGCUUCCUCCUGUCCACACCCCUGCCAAGCUCAUGUCACUCAGAGUCCUCAUUUCACCUGGCAGAUGAUCUCUGGGAGGCCAGUGGGUGAAUGAGUGACCCAAGGUCAUAGCUUAGCAAAUGAUGGCAGAGAAAUGACUAGAAACCAAAGCUCCUGACGUCAUGCUCAAAUUCUUACCCUAAACCUCACUCCAUCAGCAGAACGCCAGUGUAGCACUAUAGCCCAAGAGACCAGGGGAGGACCAGCCCCAGAAGUACUUAGGACCAGCCAUAUCCUGCAGCUCGUAAAAAAGGAGAAAGCCGACCGGCCUGACCCCUACCAAGAGCCCUCAUCCAGUGGCUGAUGGAAGCAGAGGCAGACACCCACAGAUAUACACUGAACUGAACUCUGGAACAUAGUUGCAGAGAGGAAGAAAUGAAGAUCAAAGGGGUCAGUACCAGGCUGGUGAAACCCACAGAAACAGCUGGCCAGAACAAGGAGGAGCACAUGGACCACAGACUGCUGUCUGGGAGGCCAGCACAGGACUGAUCCAGACCCCUGAACAUGGAUGUCAAUGAGGAGGCCUCCACACUCUAGGGGGCCCCUGGUAAUGGAUUAGUAUUUUUCCCUGGUGUAAGAAGGGACUAAGCCCAUCCCACUUGAAGGGAUGUACUCUUGGCUUGGACACGUGGGGGAGGGCCUCGGCCCAGCCCAGGAUGAUGUGGUGGACUUUGGGGAGCCCCAGUUG